RNAcentral lists this long non-coding RNA (347 nucleotides) under Capsicum annuum. RNAcentral's name for it is "long non-coding RNA (CANN_LNC020316)". The record is from RNAcentral. Lineage: Eukaryota; Viridiplantae; Streptophyta; Magnoliopsida; Solanales; Solanaceae.
CAAAAUUCCAAAAACAGUAUGCAAACCAACAAAACCCGACCAACAUAACGACUUAGCAAGUCAGCCUUAAUUUCAACGAGGAAAGAAAAACAGCCGAGGUACCCAAGCCCAAUUUCGAGAGAAACAACACUAAAAUAGAUGAACCAAAAUCCUCAAUCAACCGAAUGGAGGACCGAAUCUGGUAUAGUCUGAGCUCCGGUGAACUCAGACGAAGGCAGCAAAUGGCCAACCAAAAUAGAUUCCGGCGAACUCACUAUUUUUCGGCUAGAUUUAGAUAGAGAACAACGGAAGAAAAAAAAUAUUGAGAAUUUCAAACCGAACUUAUCAAACGGACCAACUGCAUCCAC